GAUGAACGCUAGCUACAGGCUUAACACAUGCAAGUCGCGGGGCAGCAUGGGGGUUGCUUGCAAUCCCCGAUGGCGACCGGCGCACGGGUGAGUAACGCGUAUCCAACCUGCCCUUCACCACGGGAUAACCCGGCGAAAGUCGGACUAAUACCGUAUGUUGUCCAUUGACGGCAUCCGAUUUGGACGAAAGGUUUGGCGGUGAAGGAUGGGGAUGCGUCCGAUUAGCUGGACGGCGGGGUGACGGCCCACCGUGGCGACGAUCGGUAGGGGUUCUGAGAGGAAGGUCCCCCACACUGGAACUGAGACACGGUCCAGACUCCUACGGGAGGCAGCAGUGAGGUAUAUUGGGCAAUGGGCGUAAGCCUGAACCAGCCAAGUAGCGUGCAGGAUGACGGCCCUAUGGGUUGUAAACUGCUUUUAUGCGGGGAUAAAGUGGCCCACGUGUGGGUUUUUGCAGGUACCGCAUGAAUAAGGACCGGCUAAUUCCGUG
This 490-nucleotide ribosomal RNA is filed under the name uncultured bacterium. RNAcentral's name for it is "partial 16S ribosomal RNA". It matches the Rfam family "Bacterial small subunit ribosomal RNA", at positions 28 to 507 of the family's 1533-position model. The record is from RNAcentral.